This 253-nucleotide ribosomal RNA is filed under the name uncultured bacterium. Its description in RNAcentral is "partial 16S ribosomal RNA". It matches the Rfam family "Bacterial small subunit ribosomal RNA", at positions 524 to 776 of the family's 1533-position model. The record is from RNAcentral.
UACGUAGGGUGCAAGCGUUGUCCGGAAUUAUUGGGCGUAAAGAGCGCGUAGGCGGUUUGUCGCGUCUGCUGUGAAAACUGGAGGCUCAACCUGCAGCCUGCAGUGGGUACGGGCAGACUAGAGUGCGGUAGGGGAGAUUGGAAUUCCUGGUGUAGCGGUGGAAUGCGCAGAUAUCAGGAAGAACACCUAUAGCGAAGGCAGCUUGCUGGGACGACACUGACGCUGAGGCGCGAAAGCGUGGGGAGCGAACAGG